Molecule: ribosomal RNA, 354 nt
Filed under: Clostridioides difficile
Lineage: Bacteria; Bacillati; Bacillota; Clostridia; Peptostreptococcales; Peptostreptococcaceae
Description: bacterial LSU rRNA
Rfam family: Bacterial large subunit ribosomal RNA
Source: RNAcentral
CCACAGGCCGUAAACCCAAGGUUUCCAGGGGAAGGUUCGUCCGCCCUGGGUUAGUCGGGACCUAAGCUGAGGCCGAAAGGCGUAGGUGAUGGACAACAGGUUGAUAUUCCUGUACUACCGAUAACCGGUUGAGAGAAGGGAUGACACAGUAGGAUAAGCUAAGCACACUGUUGGUUAUGUGUGCCCAAGCAUUGAGGCAGUCAAAGUAGGCAAAUCCGCUUUGAUAAUGCUGGGAUGUGAUGGGGAGCGAAAUUUAGUAGCGAAGUAGCUGAUUUCACACUGUCAAGAAAAGUCUCUAUCGAGGUUAAAGGUACCCGUACCGCAAACCGACACAGGUGGGUGAGGAGAGUAUCC